RNAcentral lists this ribosomal RNA (376 nucleotides) under uncultured Glomus. RNAcentral's name for it is "bacterial SSU rRNA". It matches the Rfam family "Eukaryotic small subunit ribosomal RNA", at positions 635 to 1016 of the family's 1831-position model. The record is from RNAcentral. Lineage: Eukaryota; Fungi; Glomeromycota; Glomeromycetes; Glomerales; Glomeraceae.
UGAAUUUCGGGAUCAAGGGGCUGGUCGUGCCUUGGUAUGUACUCGUCACAGCGCUCGACACUUCCUGAUGAACUGUAAUGCCAUUAAUUUGGUGUUGCAGGGAAUCUGGACUGUUACUUUGAAAAAAUUAGAGUGUUUAAAGCAGGCUAACGCUUGAAUACAUUAGCAUGGAAUAAUGAAAUAGGACGUUCGGUCUUAUUUUGUUGGUUUCUAAGAUUGACGUAAUGAUUAAUAGGGAUAGUUGGGGGCAUUAGUAUUCAAUUGUCAGAGGUGAAAUUCUUGGAUUUAUUGAAGACUAACUACUGCGAAAGCAUUUGCCAAGGAUGUUUUCAUUAAUCAAGAACGAAAGUUAGGGGAUCGAAGACGAUCAGAUACC